GAGUUUGAUCCUGGCUCAGAACGAACGCUGGCGGCGUGCUUAACACAUGCAAGUCAGGGAGAAAGUCUCUUCGGGGAUGAUUAAACCGGCGCACGGGUGAGUAACACGUGAGUGACCUGCCUUUUAGACUGGAACAACUUACCGAAAGGUGAGCUAAUGCCGGAUGAGUUAUAUAAGUGCAUGUUUAUAUAGGAAAAGUUGGGGAGACCUGACGCUGAAAGAUGGACUCGCGUCCCAUUAGCUAGUUGGUAGGGUAAUGGCCUACCAAGGCGACGAUGGGUAGCCGGCCUGAGAGGGUGGCCGGCCACACUGGGACUGAGACACGGCCCAGACUCCUACGGGAGGCAGCAGUGGGGAAUUUUGCGCAAUGCUCGUAAGAGUGACGCAGCGACGCCGCGUGAAUGACGAAGGCCUUCGGGUCGUAAAGUUCUUUCGACAGGGAAGAAAAUGCCUAUAAGUAACUGUGUAUGUAUUGACGGUACCUGUAUAAGCAGCCCCGGCUAACUUCGUGCCAGCAGCCGCGGUAAUACGGAGGGGGCGAGCGUUGUUCGGAGUGACUGGGCGUAAAGAGCACGUAGGCGGUGUUGUAAGUCAUUAGUCAAAGACUAGAGCUCAACUUUAGUAAGGCUAGUGAUACUAUAAUACUAGAGUAUCAG
This 656-nucleotide ribosomal RNA is filed under the name uncultured bacterium. Its description in RNAcentral is "bacterial SSU rRNA". It matches the Rfam family "Bacterial small subunit ribosomal RNA", at positions 9 to 652 of the family's 1533-position model. The record is from RNAcentral.